CAGCAGGACGGUGGUCAUGGAA
This 22-nucleotide small nuclear RNA is filed under the name Arabidopsis thaliana (thale cress). RNAcentral's name for it is "snRNA_05488". The record is from RNAcentral. Lineage: Eukaryota; Viridiplantae; Streptophyta; Magnoliopsida; Brassicales; Brassicaceae.